CCCUUAGAUGUCCGGGGCCGCACGCGCGCUACACUGAAGGAAUCAGCGUGGCUUUCUCCCUGACCCGAAAGGGUUGGGAAACCCGUUGAAUCUCCUUCGUGAUAGGGAUUGGGGCUUGAAAUUGUUCCCCAUGAACGAGGAAUUCCCAGUAAGCGCGAGUCAUAAGCUCGCGUUGAUUACGUCCCUGCCCUUUGCACACACCGCCCGUCGCUACUACCGAUUGAACGGUUUAGUGAGGGCCUCGGAUUGGUCUCGGCCCGCUCUUUACCGGGCGGCGCCGUUGGUCGAGAAGACGCUCGAACUUGAUCGUUUAGAGGAAGUAAAAGUCAUAACA
Molecule: ribosomal RNA, 334 nt
Filed under: uncultured eukaryote
Lineage: Eukaryota
Description: partial 18S ribosomal RNA
Rfam family: Eukaryotic small subunit ribosomal RNA
Source: RNAcentral